RNAcentral lists this ribosomal RNA (435 nucleotides) under uncultured bacterium. RNAcentral's name for it is "partial 16S ribosomal RNA". It matches the Rfam family "Bacterial small subunit ribosomal RNA", at positions 29 to 507 of the family's 1533-position model. The record is from RNAcentral.
AACGAACGCUGGCGGCAGGCCUAACACAUGCAAGUCGAACGCAUGCCUUCGGGCAUGAGUGGCAGACGGGUGGGUAACGCGUGGGAACCUACCCCUUGGUACGGGAUAGCUCCGGGAAACUGGAGAUAAUACCGUAUGUGUCCUGAGGGACAAAGAUUCAUCGCCAGGGGAUGGGCCCGCGCCGGAUUAGCUAGUUGGUGGGGUAACGGCCUACCAAGGCGACGAUCCGUAGCUGGUCUAAGAGGAUGAUCAGCCACAUUGGGGCUGAGACACGGCCCAGACUCCUACGGGAGGCAGCAGUGGGGAAUAUUGGACAAUGGGCGCAAGCCUGAUCCAGCCAUGCCGCGUGAGUGAUGAAGGCCCUAGGGUUGUGAAGCUCUUUCACCGGUGACGAUAAUGACGGUAACCGGAGAAGAAGCCCCGGCUAACUUCGUG